UGAAGCGUGGACGCCAGUCUGCGUGGAGCCGACCUUGAAAUACCACCCUUUAAUGUUUGAUGUUCUAACGUGGACCCGUGAUCCGGGUUGCGGACAGUGUCUGGUGGGUAGUUUGACUGGGGCGGUCUCCUCCUAAAGAGUAACGGAGGAGCACGAAGGUUGGCUAAUCCUGGUCGGACAUCAGGAGGUUAGUGCAAUGGCAUAAGCCAGCUUGACUGCGAGCGUGACGGCGCGAGCAGGUGCGAAAGCAGGUCAUAGUGAUCCGGUGGUUCUGAAUGGAAGGGCCAUCGCUCAACGGAUAAAAGGUACUCCGGGGAUAACAGGCUGAUACCGCCCAAGAGUUCAUAUCGACGGCGGUGUUUGGCACCUCGAUGUCGGCUCAUCACAUCCUGGGGCUGAAGUAGGUCCCAAGGGUAUGGCUGUUCGCCAUUUAAAGUGGUACGCGAGCUGGGUUUAGAACGUCGUGAGACAGUUCGGUCCCUAUCUGCCGUGGGCGCUGGAGAACUGAGGGGGGCUGCUCCUAGUACGAGAGGACCGGAGUGGACGCAUCACUGGUGUUCGGGUUGUCAUGCCAAUGGCACUGCCCGGUAGCUAAAUGCGGAAGAGAUAAGUGCUGAAAGCAUCUAAGCACGAAACUUGCCCCGAGAUGAGUUCUCCCUGAGACUUUAGGUCUCCUGAAGGAACGUUGAAGACGACGACGUUGAUAGGCCGGGUGUGUAAGCGCAGCGAUGCGUUGAGCUAACCGGUACUAAUGAACCGUGAGGCUUAACCUUACA
Molecule: ribosomal RNA, 776 nt
Filed under: Salmonella enterica
Lineage: Bacteria; Pseudomonadati; Pseudomonadota; Gammaproteobacteria; Enterobacterales; Enterobacteriaceae
Description: partial 23S ribosomal RNA
Rfam family: Bacterial large subunit ribosomal RNA
Source: RNAcentral